This 465-nucleotide ribosomal RNA is filed under the name uncultured bacterium. Its description in RNAcentral is "bacterial SSU rRNA". It matches the Rfam family "Bacterial small subunit ribosomal RNA", at positions 917 to 1382 of the family's 1533-position model. The record is from RNAcentral.
GGGCCCGCACAAGCGGUGGAGCAUGUGGUUUAAUUCGACGCAACGCGAAGAACCUUACCCAGACUUGACAUGCAUCAGACAGGUGUGGAAACACACCCUCCCUUCGGGGCUGGUGCACAGGUGCUGCAUGGCUGUCGUCAGCUCGUGUCGUGAGAUGUUGGGUUAAGUCCCGCAACGAGCGCAACCCUUGUUCUUAGUUGCUAACGGGUGAAGCUGAGCACUCUAAGAAGACUGCCGGUGAUAAACCGGAGGAAGGUGGGGAUGACGUCAAGUCCUCAUGGCCCUUACGUCUGGGGCUACACACGUGCUACAAUGGCCGGUACAGAGGGUCCCGAUACCGCGAGGUGGAGGCAAUCCCAAAAAACCGGUCUCAGUUCGGAUUGCAGUCUGCAACUCGACUGCAUGAAGUCGGAAUCGCUAGUAAUCGCUGAUCAGCAGGCAGCGGUGAAUACGUUCCCGGGCCUU